UGUUUCACAAAUUAGAAACAAAAGAAUGCAUCUAUGAUCCUCCUUUUUAUCUAUUGGAUCUUAUCUUGAUUCAACUAUUUUAAUUAUGAUUUUCUCUGUGUUAAGUAUUGUAAGGAGACAUUUUAUGAUGUUUCCCUUUUUUGUUGAUCUUUAUCACUGACUAGAGGACAAGACUGCCUUUCUUAUCUGCUUUCUGUUAUACAUAUAUAUGCAUAUUUAUAUUGUUUAUUCUUUAUGAUUUGCAGCUUCGCCAUUUCUGUGAUGCGUGGUCAAAUUUAGCUAGUGCAUAUAUGAGGAAAGGAAGGCUUAAUGAGGCAGCCCGGUGUUGUCACCAGGCUCUUGCAUUGAACCCUCGCUUGUUUGUCAGAAAAUGCAUAUGUUCUUAUGGUAGAGGUAUUGAAGAAAAUGCAAAUAUUCUGUAGGCAUUAAGCUCCCUUGUUGCUUCACUACUUGAGAAAGAAAAGGAUCUUCAACUUCUCUCUGAUUGGUCCAAUUCCUCCUGCUUUGGUUAUUCUGCUUUUGAAGAAGUUCUCCCACAUGCUCCAACAUUGAUGACUGAUGUGUUUGGCAAUUAUGUUAUUUAAAAGUUUUUUGAUCAUGGAAGCCCUGAGCAGAGAAAAGAACUAGCAAAUCAGCUUGCUGGCCACAUUUAACCUUGGAGCCUUUAGAUGUAUGGGUGCCGGGUAAUUCAAAAGGUAUUAUUAUGGGUCAUUUGUU
This is a long non-coding RNA of Magnolia sinica, 717 nucleotides long. RefSeq lists it as uncharacterized. The record is from RefSeq and is a predicted model, not a curated record. The transcript has 4 exons. Lineage: Eukaryota; Viridiplantae; Streptophyta; Magnoliopsida; Magnoliales; Magnoliaceae.